AAGGUUUUAGCUUAAGUAAAGUGUCUGAGUUGCAAUUAGAUGAUGUAGAUGAUAGUUUUACAAAUCUU
RNAcentral lists this transfer RNA (68 nucleotides) under Paroedura tanjaka. RNAcentral describes it as "tRNA-Ala". It matches the Rfam family "tRNA". Rfam says of the family: Transfer RNA (tRNA) molecules are approximately 80 nucleotides in length. Their secondary structure includes four short double-helical elements and three loops (D, anti-codon, and T loops). The record is from RNAcentral. Lineage: Eukaryota; Metazoa; Chordata; Lepidosauria; Squamata; Gekkonidae.